This 648-nucleotide long non-coding RNA is filed under the name Olea europaea subsp. europaea. The record is from RNAcentral. Lineage: Eukaryota; Viridiplantae; Streptophyta; Magnoliopsida; Lamiales; Oleaceae.
AGUCAACAUAAAGUACAACUUUCUUUUUCUUGAAUUACAUACCUAACCUAUAUUUAUUUCACCCAUUUUCAAAAUUCCUUUUCACUCUGCAAAUCUGCAUUGCCAUGAUUCAAUAAUCUGUUAUUUGCUUCUUCACCUCCUCUAAAAUCCAUAUAAAAUUGUUAAAAAUCCAAAAAUAUUUCGUGGUAUAGGAAAAAGGAGAGAAAGGAACAAUAUAUAAAAUAAAUUCAGUAGAAAAAAUUGGAAAUUAUGCCUGGCUCCAUCCUGUUUGCCAUCAAUUACGCAAAAAAAAAAAAAAAAAAAAAAAAAGAGAAGAAAAGAGAAGAAAAGGGGGCUUUUACAAGAAGUAGACACUAGUACAUUGUGCAAUCCCAAAAUGCCUUUGAAUUUACCAUUUUCUUGAAAAGGGCAACUUCUUCAUUCAACAACAGAACCCUUCUGCUCCUAAUGCCACCAUUGUUAAAGUUGGUUUUAGACUCAGAAACAGCCAUUGCCCCCUGACUGUGUUCAGUUUCUUUUUAUCUUUUUCAUCAAUGCUACUUGUGGUAUAAAAAUCUUGGAGUCUUCCUUUUCCUUUGUGGAAUUGCAAAGAGAGAAGAUCGAGGAAUUUGGAGGAAAUUUUUUAUUGGUUUUGAUUUUCGAAAGGAC